RNAcentral lists this ribosomal RNA (253 nucleotides) under uncultured bacterium. RNAcentral describes it as "partial 16S ribosomal RNA". It matches the Rfam family "Bacterial small subunit ribosomal RNA", at positions 524 to 776 of the family's 1533-position model. The record is from RNAcentral.
UACGAAGGGGGCUAGCGUUGUUCGGAAUUACUGGGCGUAAAGCGCACGUAGGCGGACAUUUAAGUCAGGGGUGAAAUCCCAGAGCUCAACUCUGGAACUGCCUUUGAUACUGGGUGUCUGGAGUAUGGAAGAGGUGAGUGGAAUUCCGAGUGUAGAGGUGAAAUUCGUAGAUAUUCGGAGGAACACCAGUGGCGAAGGCGGCUCACUGGUCCAUUACUGACGCUGAGGAGCGAAAGCGUGGGGAGCGAACAGG